UAAGGAAUAUUGGUCAAUGGACGCAAGUCUGAACCAGCCAUGCCGCGUGAAGGAUGAAGGUCCUCUGGAUUGUAAACUUCUUUUAUCUGGGACGAAAACGGGAUUUUUAUCUCAAUUGACGGUACCAGAGGAAUAAGCACCGGCUAACUCCGUGCCAGCAGCCGCGGUAAUACGGAGGGUGCGAGCGUUAUCCGGAUUUACUGGGUUUAAAGGGUGCGUAGGUGGGCUUAUAAGUCAGUGGUGAAAUCUCCGAGCUUAACUUGGAAACCGCCGUUGAGACUUUAGGUCUUGAAUUAUCUGGAGGUAAGCGGAAUAUGUCAUGUAGCGGUGAAAUGCUUAGAUAUGACAUAGAACACCAAUUGCGAAGGCAGCUUACUACAUAUAAAUUGACGCUGAGGCACGAAAGC
This 407-nucleotide ribosomal RNA is filed under the name uncultured bacterium. RNAcentral's name for it is "bacterial SSU rRNA". It matches the Rfam family "Bacterial small subunit ribosomal RNA", at positions 355 to 760 of the family's 1533-position model. The record is from RNAcentral.